Vicia villosa (hairy vetch) is the source of this 2679-nucleotide long non-coding RNA. RefSeq lists it as uncharacterized. The transcript is spliced from 7 exons. Lineage: Eukaryota; Viridiplantae; Streptophyta; Magnoliopsida; Fabales; Fabaceae. The record is from RefSeq and is a predicted model, not a curated record.
GCUAGAGAGGAAAUGUGCAGGGAACGACUUUGAUAUCUCGAAGCCAUGAUUGGAGUUAAACCAUCUGCACUGUCACUUCAAUCUAAACCAAUUGUACACUUACUUUCAUUGAAAUUAUUCUGUUUGGAAGAAGUAUUGAAAUGAGGUCUUGGUACGAUGGGUCAAACUUUCGGUACGGCGGCGAGGGGUAGACCUGCUAGGUUAACAAUCCUAGUUUCUUCAGAAAUUGUGAUCUUUUUGAUGAUCUAUUUCCUUCUGUGUGACUGUUGGAAUCUUCAAAAGUGUUGUUGGUAAUUGGUUGAGAGGGCCUGUUAUUUUCAUUCUCAACAUACUCUGCAUCUCUCAAAAGACGAAGUAAUUCAAAGGCACUUUCUUUUCCUUUAUCAUUUCCAUUCUGUGAGAUAUAGAAAAGAGGAACAAUAACUUCAUCCAAAAUCAACCCCUUUUUUCUCCAACUUCCCACUAAUACACAGAGUGAAGACUUUACAUACAGUUUCCGACUUAGAAUGAUGUUAUCCAAUUGUAUGACAUGUGCGAAAGUUAUAUCCUCGCUUGAUUGUAUAAGUUCAAGAGUUUCUGAAGUUGGUCUCGCUGCAUUCUUUUACAAAACCGAAUUCGGCCAGAAGAAAUGCUGCUUCUCCUAUAGUUUUGCUCAACCGGGUCUAUUCGUCGGUUUCAAGAAGAUGAGUUGGUCGGUUAGAAGCAGUGUAAACGACGGCAGUUUUAGUCCAUCAAACGGAAGUAACGGAAGGACGCGUAUCAUCUAUAAUGUCUUGUGUGAUCCAUCCUUAGCUUCCAGCACUUGUAGCACUUUGUUCAAUUCGCAGAUUAUUGUUCUGUGCACUUCUCUUUGGUGAAGAAUUAAUCUUCUUUUUAAGUUUUUGUUUCAGUUUUGAAUGUAACAAGGGCUUCCUUGUUUGUGCAUCAGACCGCGAUGCGUCUAUAAUUGUUCUUCAGUUAGCUCAUGUCCUAUAGUUCUUCAGGAGGACAUGUUUGUCCUAGACUUAAUUACUCAUGAACCAAAUCAGCAUUAAAUGAUACAUGUCUUCUCUUUAAUCCAAAAUGUAAUAAAACUUAUGUAUGUGCUCUUUUUUAAUAAAUGUUGGAGUUUCUAUAUUUUGUUUUAAAUUUCAUUGUUAAAUGGCACUGUGUUAUUGCACCCAUGUAUUUGCUCUAAGCUUCAUGUUAUUUUUAAUCUUAUUUUUCAUUGUUCAUGUCUAAUGGCCAGAUACAACAUCCAAGAUUGCAUUUGAAUAGGUUCGACAUGGUGAUUGCACCUAAGCAUGACUAUUAUCCUCUGACUCCACAAGGACAAGAACAAGUUCCCCGGCUUAUUCGAAGUUGGAUAACUCCACGUGAUCCUCCUGAUAGUCAUGUGGUAUGUAUAAUGUGCAUAUGAUAUGGCCAUAAGUAGCUUGUUGCUUUGACGGAGAAACUAUGAUUUUACUUUAUUGAGAAGACUCCUCAAAAAGUAUAUUUAUUGGUCUAAUGAUUGAUUAGUGUUUGUUUUGAAUUUACCAUGCCAGGAGUAUAUUUUACAUUUCUCAUGAUCAAUACUAAAACAAAAAGGCUAGGACAUUACUUGUAUUUCAUAUUAUUGAAUUUGAAAUUUUGCUUUCUGAAACUCUAUUAUUAGUUUUGAAAUAAAUGCUAUUGUCAAUUAAAAAAAACUUCGAUACUCAAGGCGAAGAUCAAGAAUUAAAAAGUGCAGCUGUUGCGCAAGUAUAGUGGAUAUCUCGGCAGUCUCAAGAAGGAGUUCUUGAAGAAGAAAAAGAAUGGAAAGUUACCAAAGGAAGCUCGUCAACAACUACUCGAUUGGUGGAACCGUCAUUACAAAUGGCCCUAUCCAUCGGUAACUAUGCUCUACAUUUGAAUAGGUUAAUUGUUGUACUUGCUAAGAAGGAAAGAGGCUUGAAAAGAUGCAGGAAGAACUUAUUUGUAUUAGCACGAACCUCGAAGACAGACUCAGAUUCCGUUAGUAUGAUAAGUGAAGCUUGUAGCACAGGGUAAGCUUGUGAAUAGGUAUUUCUAAAAUUAACACUAAUUUAAAUACUUUCUCUUGGUUCAAGUAUUUUAUAUUAUGAUAAUAAAUUAUUUUGUUUGUUCCACAGAAAGCCCGUUUACUUCAAUUUUCAAUUGUCUUUUGAAUGCUUCCAUAAACGAGUGACUUCCCAUCUUGCAGAUUUGCGAUUCCACUGUUGAUCCCUAGCCACACUCAAUCACGGUUCCCUCUGCUCCGGUCGUCGUUGAAGAUUCACUGUUUCAACAGUUUAGCAUCUUAUUGAUUCUAUAUUAAAGAAACUGUUUGAUGAUGGCGUAGUGAAACGUGAAGAUUUGUUUAUUACCUCGAAACUCUGAAAACAAUUGCUUCUCUAAGGCGUGGUAUUUUGGCCAUGGAUGAAUCCAAUGCUAUAUGUGGAAAGCGGUUGGAUUCAAUUGGACUAGAGAACACCGAAGCUAACCGUCAAGCAUGAUGUAAAAUUAUAUAUGAAGAAAGUGUUAUGACUUAGUUAAAAUAUAAUUUUUAUGUGUAUGAUUUUAUAGUACUUGAAAUAUUAUGACUGCACAUGAUUUUGUAUACUUUUUGGUUAAUAUUAAAAAUAUUUUGACUUAGUUAAAAUAUGAUUUUUAUGUGUAUGAUUUUAUAGUAUUUGCAAUAUUAUGACUGAAAAUGAAAUA